UUAUGUCUUGCUAGGUUUCUGUGGAUAGGUCUGAUGAUAUUUUGAUGUUCCUUCCUCUGCACAUAAGAAAUCUCUUUCCCCAGCUUCUCUCAGGA
Mustela erminea (ermine) is the source of this 95-nucleotide long non-coding RNA. RefSeq lists it as uncharacterized. The transcript is spliced from 3 exons. NCBI's taxonomy places the organism in Eukaryota, Metazoa, Chordata, Mammalia, Carnivora, Mustelidae. The record is from RefSeq and is a predicted model, not a curated record.